AUCCAACUGAUGAGUCACAUAUAGGAUGAAACGCGCGUUCUGGAU
Molecule: non-coding RNA, 45 nt
Filed under: Schistosoma haematobium
Lineage: Eukaryota; Metazoa; Platyhelminthes; Trematoda; Strigeidida; Schistosomatidae
Source: RNAcentral